This is a non-coding RNA of Grammomys surdaster, 131 nucleotides long. RefSeq annotates it as small Cajal body-specific RNA 11. The record is from RefSeq and is a predicted model, not a curated record. NCBI's taxonomy places the organism in Eukaryota, Metazoa, Chordata, Mammalia, Rodentia, Muridae. The transcript has a single exon.
AGGACUCCUCAUAAAGGAAUGAGUGCAGGUAGACUCCAGCAGAACAGCCUGGGAGGCACAGAGCAAUUUCUCUCUUAAUUCAGGAUGGCUUCUAAGAUUUGGGUUGGCUCUUAAAGGCACAAGAGGAGAAU